UACGGAGGAUGCGAGCGUUAUCCGGAUUUAUUGGGUUUAAAGGGUGCGUAGGCGGAUGCUUAAGUCAGCGGUAAAAUUGCGGGGCUCAACCUCGUCGAGCCGUUGAAACUGGGUGCCUUGAGUGGGCGAGAAGUACGCGGAAUGCGUGGUGUAGCGGUGAAAUGCAUAGAUAUCACGCAGAACUCCGAUUGCGAAGGCAGCGUACCGGCGCCCAACUGACGCUGAAGCACGAAGGCGUGGGUAUCGAACAGG
Molecule: ribosomal RNA, 252 nt
Filed under: uncultured bacterium
Lineage: Bacteria
Description: partial 16S ribosomal RNA
Rfam family: Bacterial small subunit ribosomal RNA
Source: RNAcentral